RNAcentral lists this transfer RNA (71 nucleotides) under Camelus bactrianus (Bactrian camel). It matches the Rfam family "tRNA". Rfam says of the family: Transfer RNA (tRNA) molecules are approximately 80 nucleotides in length. Their secondary structure includes four short double-helical elements and three loops (D, anti-codon, and T loops). Further hydrogen bonds mediate the characteristic L-shaped molecular structure. tRNAs have two regions of fundamental functional importance: the anti-codon, which is responsible for specific mRNA codon recognition, and the 3' end, to which the tRNAs corresponding amino acid is attached (by aminoacyl-tRNA synthetases). tRNAs cope with the degeneracy of the genetic code in two manners: having more than one tRNA (with a specific anti-codon) for a particular amino acid; and 'wobble' base-pairing, i.e. permitting non-standard base-pairing at the 3rd anti-codon position. The record is from Rfam by way of RNAcentral. Lineage: Eukaryota; Metazoa; Chordata; Mammalia; Artiodactyla; Camelidae. RNAcentral also lists the same sequence under 1 other name.
GAGGAUAUAGCUCAAUGGUAGAGCGCGUGCUUAGCAUGCACCAGGUCCUGGGUUCAACCCCAAAACCUACA